Molecule: ribosomal RNA, 1244 nt
Filed under: metagenome
Description: bacterial LSU rRNA
Rfam family: Bacterial large subunit ribosomal RNA
Source: RNAcentral
UGAGUACGAGAUGCUACGGCGUCGAAGCAGUCUAUGUCAUACUUCCAAGAAAAGCUUGCACUGUCAUAAACAAAGAAUGCCUGUACCAUAACCGACACAGGUGGGUAGGUAGAGUAUACUAAGGGGCGCGAGAUAACUCUCUCUAAGGAACUCGGCAAAAUGACUCCGUAACUUCGGGAGAAGGAGUGCCUUAUUUUUAAGGUUGCAAUAACAAGAUCCAAGCAACUGUUUACCAAAAACACAGGUCUCCGCUAAGUCGUAAGACGAUGUAUGGGGGCUGACGCCUGCCCAGUGCCAGAAGGUUAAAGAAGUUGGUUAGCAUUCGCGAAGCUGAUAACUGAAGCCCUGGUGAACGGCGGCCGUAACUAUAACGGUCCUAAGGUAGCGAAAUUCCUUGUCGGGUAAGUUCCGACCCGCACGAAAGGCGUAAUGAUUUGGAUACUGUCUCGGAGAGGGGCUCGGUGAAAUAGACUUGUCUGUGAAGAUGCGGACUACCUGCACCUGGACAGAAAGACCCUAUGAAGCUUUACUGUAACUUGAGAUUGAAAUUGGACUUUAUUUGCGCAGUAUAGGUGGGAGGCGUUGAGAAUAAUCUUGCGGGAUUAUGGGAGCCAUCAGUGAGAUACCACUCUUGUAAUGUUAGAUUUCUAACUUUGUAUCAUUAUCUGGUCAAAGAACAGUUUCAGGCGGGCAGUUUGACUGGGGCGGUCGCCUCCCAAAGGGUAACGGAGGCGCACAAAGGUUUCCUCUGAACGGGUAGAAAUCGUAUCUAGAGUGUAAAGGCAUAAGGAAGCUUGACUGUGAGACCUACAAGUCGAGCAGGGACGAAAGUCGGUCUUAGUGAUCUGACGGUGCUGAGUGGAAAGGCCGUCACUCAACGGAUAAAAGUUACUCUAGGAUAACAGGCUGAUCUCCCCCAAGAGUUCACAUCGACGGGGAGGUUUGGCACCUCGAUGUCGGCUCAUCGCAUCCUGGGGCGGUAGUACGUCCCAAGGGUUGGGCUGUUCGCCCAUGAAAGCGGUACGCGAGCUGGGUUCAGAACGUCGUGAGACAGUUCGGUCCAUAUCCGGUGUAGGCGUUAGAAUAUUGAAAGGAGCCAUCUCUAGUACGAGAGGACCGAGAAGGACAUACCUCUGGUGUACCAGUUAUCGUGCCAACGGUAAACGCUGGGUAGCUAUGUAUGGAGUGGAUAACCGCUGAAAGCAUCUAAGUGGGAAGCCCACCUUAAGAUAAGUAUUCUCAUC